This 364-nucleotide ribosomal RNA is filed under the name uncultured Allobrachymonas sp. Its description in RNAcentral is "bacterial SSU rRNA". It matches the Rfam family "Bacterial small subunit ribosomal RNA", at positions 1010 to 1382 of the family's 1533-position model. The record is from RNAcentral. Lineage: Bacteria; Pseudomonadati; Pseudomonadota; Betaproteobacteria; Burkholderiales; Comamonadaceae.
GGGAGUGCCUUCGGGAGCCAGGAGACAGGUGCUGCAUGGCUGUCGUCAGCUCGUGUCGUGAGAUGUUGGGUUAAGUCCCGCAACGAGCGCAACCCUUGCCAUUAGUUGCUACGAAAGGGCACUCUAAUGGGACUGCCGGUGACAAACCGGAGGAAGUGGGGAUGACGUCAAGUCCUCAUGGCCCUUAUAGGUGGGGCUACACACGUCAUACAAUGGCCGGUACAGAGGGUAGCCAACCCGCAGGGGGAGCCAAUCCCACAAAGCCGGUCGUAGUCCGGAUCGCAGUCUGCAACUCGACUGCGUGAAGUCGGAAUCGCUAGUAAUCGCGGAUCAGCAUGUCGCGGUGAAUACGUUCCCGGGUCUU